AGGCAGAAAUUCUCGAAUGGGAAAAAAAAGGAUGACCAGAAACCAAAACUUUUCUUAAGAUGAGUGUUUUCAGAAGAUAUGACUGAUGUAUUCAGGCCACGUACAAAUCUGUUUUCCUGGAAAAUUCAGUUGCCAAAACACAAGUACUUUUAAUGCCCAGGAAAUAGUCAAUGAAGCCACAAAUCACAUCUUACGAUGUGUCCUCAUGUCAUGCUAGCUGCCAUGGAAAACUAUGAGAUGUACAAGGAAUGGUUCCCUCUUCUCCAGAGAAUGACUAGGUUUCAGAAAGAGAGGAUGGAAGAUGGCAUCCUAGGUGAGAGAUGAUCUGAGCUAGAGUUCAGAGGGAGGAAAGUGAAAAUUAUGUUCAGAC
RNAcentral lists this long non-coding RNA (370 nucleotides) under Monodelphis domestica (gray short-tailed opossum). RNAcentral describes it as "lncRNA (ENSMODG00000033249.2)". Lineage: Eukaryota; Metazoa; Chordata; Mammalia; Didelphimorphia; Didelphidae. The record is from RNAcentral.